This is an RNA transcript of Magnolia sinica, 1603 nucleotides long. It is a transcript of the gene named protein disulfide isomerase-like 1-3, with no coding region annotated. The record is from RefSeq and is a predicted model, not a curated record. NCBI's taxonomy places the organism in Eukaryota, Viridiplantae, Streptophyta, Magnoliopsida, Magnoliales, Magnoliaceae. The transcript is spliced from 9 exons.
GAUGCAUCUCCGCCAUCUCUUCUAUCCCCCUCACGUCAUCUUCUUGCUUGGAGCUCCAUUGCAGCAGCCGUGAAGCUCCUACCUGAAGAAAACACACACCAUUCGAAAGUCCCUUUUCAUAUUUUUGUGGCAUCUUUUAAAAUCGAGGGAAUCAGAGGCUCCUCUCCAUAGGCCUCAAUGCAGGAAAAUUGCUGUGUAGCUAAAUUUUCAUAUCAAAUCCAAGGAUUGUCAGUAUUUUCUUUACUUUUAGUUGACCCUUUAUUUCAUUUGUUUGAUGUAAAUGUGAAAGGCCAUUUCUAAGUCAAUAUCUCCAAGGCUAUGUUCUACUAAUUUUAGUUUUGCAGAUUUUUUUGGGUAUUUAAAGCAGGAAACAAUUACAAAAUCCGUCACUCAGAUUGUGCAAGAACAACAUGGAAAGUUUGGGCACGAAUUCUUGGUUCAUUUAGUAAAUGGGAUCAUAAUACACCACCACACUCCUCAGCCGAUGUCCAUGGUGGCUCACCAUGACAGAACUCACUCUAGCUUAUGUCCAGAUGCAUUGAGGUUGGAAAGUUUUGAGCUUGUGCAACCCAGCUCCCUUGCAAGCCAACACAGGCCUGGAUGGAAAACGUGUGACAUCCAAGCUGUCCAUCAGGUGGGUCCCCACUUCUCGAUGCCAUAUCCCAAAAAUCAGGCGAGUCCACUCCAUGGAAGGAUCACCAAAAGGGCCCCAGACCCUAGGAAUUCUAUGCAGCAAGACCUCAUGUGUGUGUUCACUUGGCAUAUGUCAACUUUCUGCCUAGAAAGUAGAAACUGCAGAAUGUAAUCGGUAGAAAGCAAUCAAUAUAAGUAAACUAUCUAGUUGAUGCCUGUCUUUACUGGAGAUGCUUUUAUUGAGUAUUAGCUAUGUUGUUCUUUUUCCAUUCAAAUGAUAUCUAGGCCUUAAUGUGAUGUUGCUUCUCGAACUGUUUGUGGAAGGAUAGUCGGCUUAACAACAACAGUUUGACGGGUAACAUACCCAUGUCUUUGACAAAUGUCACUGCACUGCAAGUUCUGGAUCUAUCCAACAACAAGCUAACAGGGGGAGUUCCAGAUAAUGGGACAUUUUCACUAUUCACUCCCAUCAGGUGGCAGGGUUGACGAACAACUCUUGUUUAGCAGAAUCACACAAAGUGCGUCACUGUGUGAGGAAGCAUCCUGUACUUGGCCAACAUGUGCUUGAUGUUGCAAAGCUAUUGUAAAUCCUGCAGAAGAGAUUGGACAACAUGUUAUAUGUUGGGCUUACUGAGGAACACAAGGAGUCCGCGGCGAUGUUUGCAAAUGUGGUUGGUGUGCAGGUGCUUUCCUUGUUGGAAGCCUUGAAUUCUCGUACCAAUCAAGCAGUUAACAACAGAACAGAGCUGACCUCUUCUUUUCCAGAGUCUGAGCACGAUAGUUCAAAUCAGCUGCGGGACAGCAUCGAUGGACAAAAGUUGACAGAAACUCCUUCAGUCAAAAAAAUUGAAACUGCUGAUGAAAAUGUAAGACCAUUUUAAUAUUAUUAGGAGUUCAUUAAAACUUUUGAUUUUUAUAAUCAGAUUUUGAGAAUAGCUUCUGGUCAUUUAUUUUGUGUCUUCCAUAGAAG